RNAcentral lists this ribosomal RNA (390 nucleotides) under uncultured bacterium. Its description in RNAcentral is "bacterial SSU rRNA". It matches the Rfam family "Bacterial small subunit ribosomal RNA", at positions 29 to 405 of the family's 1533-position model. The record is from RNAcentral.
AAUCAACGCUGGCGGCGUGCCUAACACAUGCAAGUCGAACGCGAAAGUCCCGCAAGGGGCGAGUAGAGUGGCAAACGGGUGAGUAACACGUGGGUGACCUGCCUUCGAGUGGGGAUAACGUCCCGAAAGGGACGCUAAUACCGCAUGAUAUCCUGCCUUUGAAGAGGUGGAGAUCAAAGCUGGGGAUCGCAAGACCUAGCGCUCAAAGAGGGCCCGCGCCUGAUUAGCCAGUUGGUGGGGUAAUGGCUCACCAAGGCAACGAUCAGUAUCCGGCCUGAGAGGGCGGACGGACACACUGGGACUGAGACACGGCCCAGGACUCCUACGGGAGGCAGCAGUGGGGAAUUGUUCGCAAUGGGCGCAAGCCGUGACGACGCAACGCCGCGUGGA